GCCCAGGUGGCUCAGCGGUAGAGAACCUGCCUGCCAAUGCAGGAGACCUGGGUUCAAUCCUGGUCCGGGAA
Molecule: transfer RNA, 71 nt
Filed under: Bos taurus (domestic cattle)
Lineage: Eukaryota; Metazoa; Chordata; Mammalia; Artiodactyla; Bovidae
Also listed under: 4 other names
Rfam family: tRNA
About the family: Transfer RNA (tRNA) molecules are approximately 80 nucleotides in length. Their secondary structure includes four short double-helical elements and three loops (D, anti-codon, and T loops). Further hydrogen bonds mediate the characteristic L-shaped molecular structure. tRNAs have two regions of fundamental functional importance: the anti-codon, which is responsible for specific mRNA codon recognition, and the 3' end, to which the tRNAs corresponding amino acid is attached (by aminoacyl-tRNA synthetases). tRNAs cope with the degeneracy of the genetic code in two manners: having more than one tRNA (with a specific anti-codon) for a particular amino acid; and 'wobble' base-pairing, i.e. permitting non-standard base-pairing at the 3rd anti-codon position.
Source: Rfam by way of RNAcentral